RNAcentral lists this long non-coding RNA (295 nucleotides) under Homo sapiens (human). RNAcentral describes it as "non-protein coding lnc-CHST4-1:4". Lineage: Eukaryota; Metazoa; Chordata; Mammalia; Primates; Hominidae. The record is from RNAcentral.
AGGGAGGAAGAGGCCAAGGUUUCAGAGCCUCAGGAAUGAGGAACAGCAGGAGGAACUGGACCAACAGGACCCAAGGGAGAGUAUCAAAGGCAAAACAAAGGAAAAUGAGGACAACCCAAUACUCAGAAAAAAAAACGAGUAAUUCAUGGAUUCACAACGGGCAACAAACUAGAUGACUAUUAGGAAGAGAAGAGCAAACCUUAUGAUCUCAAAAUGAUUUCUUGUUCAUUUGCAUCCUCGCAUCAAUCUAGACUUUAAGAAAUAUGUGAUUUUUAAAUAAAUGGGUAUAUCUGCA